RNAcentral lists this ribosomal RNA (738 nucleotides) under Diplodia corticola. RNAcentral's name for it is "SSU rRNA". It matches the Rfam family "Bacterial small subunit ribosomal RNA", at positions 366 to 1166 of the family's 1533-position model. The record is from RNAcentral. Lineage: Eukaryota; Fungi; Ascomycota; Dothideomycetes; Botryosphaeriales; Botryosphaeriaceae.
GGUCAAUGGCCUAACGGCUGAACCAGCAACUUGGGGGAAUGGAUAUAUAUAUUAGAAAUAAUAUAUAGUACCGACUCUGUCGGAUAAAGUUCUAGAUAGAAUAAUGAUAAUGACAAUUUUCUAUCUAUAUGUCUUGACCAAAUCUUGUGCCAGCAGUCGCGGCAACACAAGGGAGACUGGUGUUAUUCAUCUUUAUUAGGUUUAAAGGGUACCUAGACGGUAUAUCAUGCCCCAAAAGGGAACGGAUAUACUAGAGUUUUAUGUGAGAGGUAAAUAUAGUACUAUUGGUGUAGAGAUAAUAUUCAUUGAUACCUCUAGGCACGGGUAACGGCGAAGGCAAUCCUCUAUGUAAAAACUGACGUUGAGGGACGAAGGCUCGGGUAACGAAUAGGAUUAGAUACCCUAAUAGUCCGGGCAGACAAUUAUGAAUGUCAUAGAUUAGAAGUUUUUUUGGUCUAUAAAUGAAAGUGUAAGCAUUCCACCUCAAGAGUAAGGCGGCAACGUUGGAACUGAAACCAUUAGACCGUUUCUGAAACCAGUAGUGAAGUAUGUUAUUUAAUUCGAUGAUCCUCGAAAAACCUUACCACAAUUUGAAUGUUAAUUAAUAAAUUAACACAGGCGUUGCAUGGCUGUCUUCAGUUAAUGUCGUGAGAUCUGGUUAGAUCCAAAAAAUUAUCGUAAACCCUUGUACUUUAUUUGUUUGAAUAGUGCAGUUAACCACUAUAUUGGAUUAUAUAA